GGGCGAUUAACUCAGUGGGAGAGUGCCACCUUCACACGGUGGAAGUCGCUGGUUCGAACCCAGCAUCGCCCACCA
Molecule: transfer RNA, 75 nt
Filed under: Gammaproteobacteria bacterium
Lineage: Bacteria; Pseudomonadati; Pseudomonadota; Gammaproteobacteria
Also listed under: 2 other names
Description: tRNA-Val
Rfam family: tRNA
About the family: Transfer RNA (tRNA) molecules are approximately 80 nucleotides in length. Their secondary structure includes four short double-helical elements and three loops (D, anti-codon, and T loops). Further hydrogen bonds mediate the characteristic L-shaped molecular structure. tRNAs have two regions of fundamental functional importance: the anti-codon, which is responsible for specific mRNA codon recognition, and the 3' end, to which the tRNAs corresponding amino acid is attached (by aminoacyl-tRNA synthetases). tRNAs cope with the degeneracy of the genetic code in two manners: having more than one tRNA (with a specific anti-codon) for a particular amino acid; and 'wobble' base-pairing, i.e. permitting non-standard base-pairing at the 3rd anti-codon position.
Source: RNAcentral